CGUUCUGACCUAGAUUACGUCAGAGCUUGCGAAUCAAGGUACUAGAAUCAAGAUGGCGGCCUAGUUUCAGUGUCUGUACUCUGUUGACAUUAUUUACGUGAACUUUUGACCGUUUGUUCUUAAAUACUUGUGGAAAUAUGAAUAAAUAAAUGGCAUGUCUGACAAAAGUAGUUAAAUUAUUUCAUUGUUUUGCUCAACUUUAUUAUUUUUAUUUAUUCCUUACAUCCGCGAAUCAUGGUUAGUCGAGGAUACGUUUAAAAUAAGUAAACACUAAAAGUGCACACUGACAGUUGAUUACGAUACAUCUAACAAUUUGAGUCAUUACAGUAAAACAUGGAUUAUAAGUGAAUUAUACGCGUAAGAGAAGAUUUUCUGUCGAAAAAACUAAUGUCAACAAUCAGCAUGGAAUUGGGAUAUUCGUAUCAAAGGGCAAUUCAUGCAGGAAAAGGACUGAAUAUUACUAUUAUAUGAAGAAUUCCAGCCUGCAUUAAAUACUUUGUUGGAUCAUUGAGACAGAUUUGACAUCCAUGUCUAUCCACAUCUGAUAGAGAUGAUCACUAAACAUUCUAGAUGGGUAAAGACCUGUUAAAUCAGCAUUGACUCAGCAUUGAGUAUUUUUCAUCUGUGCAGACACUACAAGUACAAACGCAUGGGAACAAACCAAACUUCAAAUGUUGAAGAGUGAAGAAUUAUUGUGAAAAGUUCUAAAUGUUAGAAUACCAUUGACUAAAUAAAACAAAUAGACAUCGCUUACCAACAGAGACUGUUUACAUGUUAUAAUAUUAAAAAGACAUUAGUUGAGAACUUUCACUCUGACAUUUUUGGAGGGGCAUUAUCGCCUACUUAGUGUUCUUGUUUUUUUACAUAUUUUAAUUUAAAAGUACAUUCAUUGUUUUUAAAUCUGAAUUCAUAGUUAGUAUCAUAAGUAAAAUUCAUUUAUUUGAAUGAUUACAUUUUAUGAAUAAGUCCAAUUGAGCUUUUUACAAGAAAAAGGUUGAUUUUUAAGCAUUUUAUUAGUUAUAAAAAUGUAUAGUUACAUGACAUUAUGUAUAUUUUCUUCAAAACUGAUCGGUAAACUAUCAUAAAUUGUCUUUUGAAUUGUUCAUUAGACAUCAUAGAAAUUUUUUAAAUGAUUUCAGCAGGUUGUCUUAUUAUUAACUAUUUUUUUAUGAAUUUAUAAAACUGCUAUAUAUUUUCAAACAUCGAAAUACUGCUCUGUUCCGAAGACUCACAAGAUCAAUCAAAAUGAUUUUUUUCCAUGUGUAUCAAUAAUAUGUUCGGUUGAACGUAAUUUUUCUGUUAACUGAAGUUUAUUUUACCAGAAACUGUUGUGUUUAUUUAAUAAUCUCUGAUAAUGUGAAAAAAAAUCAAAUAAAGACAAAAUAUUUUUAAUUAACAGUAAAAAAUCUUCAAAAUUUGGAUAAAAGUCCCAUAACGUACCAUGAUAAUGACUAUGUUGUCCGUAAAAGCUUUAUAAAAGUGUGUAUUACUUAUACCUUAAUUCAGUUCAAAUAAUUAUGGCCUUUAAGGAUUUGUGUUUUCAUAAUAUAGAUUUCCUGUUAUAUUGAGCUUUGUCAAUUUGUGUUGAUGUUUUGUUUUAUGUAC
This is a long non-coding RNA of Mya arenaria, 1605 nucleotides long. RefSeq lists it as uncharacterized. The transcript is spliced from 3 exons. The record is from RefSeq and is a predicted model, not a curated record. Lineage: Eukaryota; Metazoa; Mollusca; Bivalvia; Myida; Myidae.